UGAGUAACCUGCCCUUAACUCUGGGAUAAGCCUGGGAAACUGGGUCUAAUACCGGAUAUGACUCCUCAUCGCAUGGUGGGGGGUGGAAAGCUUUGUUGUGGUUUUGGAUGGACUCGCGGCCUAUCAGCUUGUUGGUGAGGUAAUGGCUCACCAAGGCGACGACGGGUAGCCGGCCUGAGAGGGUGACCGGCCACACUGGGACUGAGACACGGCCCAGACUCCUACGAGAGGCAG
RNAcentral lists this ribosomal RNA (234 nucleotides) under uncultured bacterium. RNAcentral describes it as "partial 16S ribosomal RNA". It matches the Rfam family "Bacterial small subunit ribosomal RNA", at positions 118 to 351 of the family's 1533-position model. The record is from RNAcentral.